This 244-nucleotide unclassified non-coding RNA is filed under the name uncultured fungus. RNAcentral's name for it is "sequence contains ITS2". The stretch from base 1 to 52 matches the Rfam family "5.8S ribosomal RNA", at positions 103 to 154 of the family's 154-position model. The record is from RNAcentral. Lineage: Eukaryota; Fungi.
AACGCACAUUGCACCCCCUGGUAUUCCAGGGGGUAUGCCUGUUCGAGCGUCAUUUCAACCCUCAAGCCUAGCUUGGUAUUGGGUGUCACCUGGCAAUGGUGUACCUUAAAAUCAGUGGCGGUUCCAUCUGGCUUCAAGCGUGGUAAUAACACUCGCUUUGGAGGUUUGGAUGUGUACUUGCCAUCAACCCCUUAUUUUAUCAAAGGUUGACCUCGGAUCAGGUAGGGAUACCCGCUGAACUUAA